Molecule: small RNA, 386 nt
Filed under: Pongo abelii (Sumatran orangutan)
Lineage: Eukaryota; Metazoa; Chordata; Mammalia; Primates; Hominidae
Description: retained intron
Source: RNAcentral
CGUGGGUGGCUUGAGGGGGUGCUGGCGGGUUUCGUGGCCCCUCGACACUGGCCUCUGUUGCAGCCCUCACUGGACCCCCUGCCACCGUACAUCCUGGCCGAGGCCCAGCUCCGCACACAGAGGUACCGGGGCCCACACUGCUGUGGCGCGUGGGGCAGGGGCCUCGGGGCUGGUGCCCACUGCAGCUUUCUCUCUAGGGCCUGGGUCUUGCAGGAGAUCCGGGACUGUCUGAUUGAGGACAGUGACAACGAGGUGGGCCAGAGCUGAGCGUGAGGACGUGCUUGCCAAGACAGCAGGCGGUGGCCACCUGGUCCACCACACUGGAGCCGGAAGGCAAGGAUGGGGGACUGGCCUCUGAUUGUCCAUUUGUAUAAAUAAAACAUUUU